Molecule: long non-coding RNA, 342 nt
Organism: Cyprinus carpio carpio
Lineage: Eukaryota; Metazoa; Chordata; Actinopteri; Cypriniformes; Cyprinidae
Source: Ensembl
GGAGGAAACAGGAGGGUGAAAGGGGGUUUUGGUGUACUCUGUGACCGCCUCCAGUGCUUCAUGCCGGUCGGAUGACUGAGCGCUGCUGACGCGAUUGGUGCAGGAGGAGGACAGAGCAGAUGCCAUGUGAAAAAGAGAGUGGGAGGAUAAGUACAAAGUGCACAUGGCCAAGACGCCACAAGCACACGGGAUCCUGAACGUAAUGAGAAGCAAUGAUAAGGGACUCAUCAACAAACACUGCGUUACUGGGGGACGGAGGCAGGACGUAUGUUUGAAAGAAAACUCCGGUUUGGUUUCUCCGCCACCAAGUCUCAAGGUUAUCCCACAGAACCCAGGACUGGA